Molecule: non-coding RNA, 217 nt
Filed under: Lotharella globosa
Lineage: Eukaryota; Cercozoa; Chlorarachniophyceae
Source: RNAcentral
UCCUGCGCCAAGUUGCUGAGAACAAGGAUACUGGAAGGUCGAUGGUCAGCGAUUGGCGCCUGACCUUGAAUAAGGAAAAAAUGCUCUGCGAAACAUUGAUGAAAACUCGCCGUUACCUGACCAUGAUCCGUCUGGAUGGAUGGGUCCCACGGGAGAGCGUGAACUACAUCAAAGAGGAGGUCGAUCACUUCGAGAAUGCUGGGCAAUCUGGAUCUAU